GUUCCUAUCGAUUAGUGGUCAGAUCAUCACGUUGUGGCUGCCUUGCAUACGAAACCGUGGAGACGGGGGCUCGACUCCCCCUAGGAACA
Rhodofomes roseus is the source of this 89-nucleotide non-coding RNA. NCBI's taxonomy places the organism in Eukaryota, Fungi, Basidiomycota, Agaricomycetes, Polyporales, Fomitopsidaceae. The record is from the annotation of a RefSeq genome assembly.